Cinara cedri is the source of this 394-nucleotide non-coding RNA. The record is from the annotation of a GenBank genome assembly. NCBI's taxonomy places the organism in Eukaryota, Metazoa, Arthropoda, Insecta, Hemiptera, Aphididae.
UAAAUUUUCCAAUUCCACCUACUGUAGUAGCACACCCUUCAGCAGUAUCAGUUCCAUUUUUUUUAUCAGGACUAUUAUUGUUUUGUUAUGAAAAAAAUUUCUGACGUCUUGAAUCACUGAACUAUGUAAUGAAAAUAACUAAUAUGUCCCCCGUCGUAGAGUAAAUUGUUCAAAUUUUUGCAUACGUAACUCGUAAAUUAUGACGCACGAUCUAUGCCACUAAAAAGCGAUUUCAAUCGUAAAUUCACAAUAAAUUAUUCGUUAGCAAAUCGUUUUCGUUCCUAUUAAACAAAUUGUUGUGAUAAUAUAAUACAAAUUAUGACGUACUUUUGCUCGAUGGAUGCCGUUUAAUCUUUGUCGCGUUUCAUAGUUUCGCGGUUGACUUCCUAAUAAU